This 58-nucleotide transfer RNA is filed under the name Sphingobacteriales bacterium. Its description in RNAcentral is "tRNA-Asn". It matches the Rfam family "tRNA", at positions 8 to 62 of the family's 71-position model. Rfam says of the family: Transfer RNA (tRNA) molecules are approximately 80 nucleotides in length. Their secondary structure includes four short double-helical elements and three loops (D, anti-codon, and T loops). The record is from RNAcentral. Lineage: Bacteria; Pseudomonadati; Bacteroidota; Sphingobacteriia; Sphingobacteriales.
UAGCUCAGUUGGUUAGAGCAUCUGACUGUUAAUCAGAGGGUCACUGGUUCAAGUCCAG